GCGAGAUCUGUUGAAACAUUGAUUUUUGACGAUUCCUUCCCUGAGAAGAGGGCGAGGAGAAGAAGAAAGAAAAAGGAGAACUGAAUUGAAUUAGAUUAGCAUGAAGGACCUUUUCACGCGGAGACUAAAAGUACUGCGCAUAACUUCCUGCUCAGAAAUAUAUGCAAAUAAGAAGACAGAUCCUGAAAGAGCAAGCUAGGAGAGUACAGGUCGUGCUGCAGUUAGUUCAUUGAAAACUCAUUUGCUCUUGGAGCAGUCAGGCAGUGACUGCCUUCGGCUUUUUUUCUGCUGACUAAGAUCUCCUAUAGAGAGCUACAACAAUGCCCAAAAGAAAGGCUGCAGGUCAAGAUUUUUGUUUUUAACUUAUAGCCAAAGAGAAGAUCUGCCAGGUUGUCUGCUAUGCUUGUGCCAGUUACACCAGAGGUGAAGCCUAAAAGAACAUCAAGUUCAAGGAAAAUGAAGACAAAAAGUGAUAUGAUGGAAGAAAACAUAGAUACAAGUGCCCAAGCAGUUGCUGAAACCAAGCAAGAAGCAGUUGUUGAAGAAGACU
This 550-nucleotide long non-coding RNA is filed under the name Homo sapiens (human). RNAcentral describes it as "HSALNT0284029". The record is from RNAcentral. Lineage: Eukaryota; Metazoa; Chordata; Mammalia; Primates; Hominidae.